GCCUUUGUGGGGUAGUGGUCAGCACGCUCGGCGCGUAUUCGAGAGGUCCGGGGUUCAAGUCCCGGCGAGGGCA
This 73-nucleotide transfer RNA is filed under the name Stegodyphus mimosarum. It matches the Rfam family "tRNA". From Rfam's summary of the family: Transfer RNA (tRNA) molecules are approximately 80 nucleotides in length. Their secondary structure includes four short double-helical elements and three loops (D, anti-codon, and T loops). Further hydrogen bonds mediate the characteristic L-shaped molecular structure. tRNAs have two regions of fundamental functional importance: the anti-codon, which is responsible for specific mRNA codon recognition, and the 3' end, to which the tRNAs corresponding amino acid is attached (by aminoacyl-tRNA synthetases). tRNAs cope with the degeneracy of the genetic code in two manners: having more than one tRNA (with a specific anti-codon) for a particular amino acid; and 'wobble' base-pairing, i.e. permitting non-standard base-pairing at the 3rd anti-codon position. The record is from Rfam by way of RNAcentral. Lineage: Eukaryota; Metazoa; Arthropoda; Arachnida; Araneae; Eresidae.